GACGAACGCUGGCGGCGUGCUUAACACAUGCAAGUCGAACGGAAAGGCCCUGCUUGCAGGGUACUCGAGUGGCGAACGGGUGAGUAACACGUGGGUGAUCUGCCCUGCACUUCGGGAUAAGCCUGGGAAACUGGGUCUAAUACCGGAUAGGAGCCAUUUUUAGUGUGAUGGUUGGAAAGUUUUUUCGGUGUAGGAUGAGCUCGCGGCCUAUCAGCUUGUUGGUGGGGUAAUGGCCUACCAAGGCGGCGACGGGUAGCCGGCCUGAGAGGGUGGACGGCCACAUUGGGACUGAGAUACGGCCCAGACUCCUACGGGAGGCAGCAGUGGGGAAUAUUGCACAAUGGGCGCAAGCCUGAUGCAGCGACGCCGCGUGGGGGAUGACGGCCUUCGGGUUGUAAACUCCUUUCGCUAGGGACGAAGCUUUUCGUGACGGUACCUUGAUAAGAAGCACCGGCUAACUACGUG
Molecule: ribosomal RNA, 465 nt
Filed under: uncultured bacterium
Lineage: Bacteria
Description: partial 16S ribosomal RNA
Rfam family: Bacterial small subunit ribosomal RNA
Source: RNAcentral